RNAcentral lists this ribosomal RNA (185 nucleotides) under uncultured bacterium. Its description in RNAcentral is "partial 16S ribosomal RNA". It matches the Rfam family "Bacterial small subunit ribosomal RNA", at positions 524 to 705 of the family's 1533-position model. The record is from RNAcentral.
UACGAAUGGGGCGAGCGUUGUUCGGAAUCACUGGGCUUAAAGCGUACGUAGGCGGAUAUGAAAGUCAGGAGUGAAAUCCCGGGGCUUAACCCCGGAACUGCUUCUGAAACUCCAUAUCUAGAAUCCCGGAGGGGUAAAUGGAAUUCCGAGUGGUAGAGGUGAAAUUCGCAGAGUAUUACGGAGGA